Non-coding RNA from Punica granatum (pomegranate), 1241 nucleotides. The record is from RefSeq and is a predicted model, not a curated record. Lineage: Eukaryota; Viridiplantae; Streptophyta; Magnoliopsida; Myrtales; Lythraceae.
CUUUCUUCAUUCUCUGUUGUGAUUUACCGGUUUAACCCUAAUUUCUCGAAAUUUCCAGUCGAAAUCUUCCAUAGUUCCAUCCACCUUCGAUUAACGGUGCUAGCUUGUCAGAGCGGCGGAUACGUUCUUGAGUAGCGCGGCUACUCCGAGCUUCGAUCAGGGGCAGGGCAGGACCGGCAAGUACGAUUUUGAGUUGAUUAUCCCUCUAUUGGAAGCCUCGGUGAUGAUCGAAAUCCCGACAUCCUUUGGGACGGGAUUGUAAAACAGGCGCUAUUCUAAAUCCUCUUAUAUUAUAAUUGUAAUAUUGUUCCAUUGAUCACGUUGUUUUGUCAAAAUAUGGCUGUGCUCUUACGGUGUGUGUGUGUGUGUAUAUAUAUAUAUAUAUGCUAUGAUUCAUUGUAUCUUCCUUUUCUUUAAUUUCUUAUAUGGUGUACAGAAAUGCUUGAUGAUACCUAAACACAUGUUUUCGUUGUUUGUAUUUGAUCUCUUGAGAGGUCACUAUUUGAUGCUUGAAUUCUCUGUCGGGAAUCUUCGUUCUCUCUAAAAUACUGGUAGUAAUAGCAAUAUUUAGUGCUCGGCUGCUCUCAGUUUCUGUUUGUCACUUCCUCAGUUCCUCUUCUUUUUUCAUUUUUCCCCUUUGGUGUGUGUUUCAUGUUUGUUUUUUUUAUAAGACAUGCCAUCUGUGUGUGAAAUAUGGGUUUAGUAGUUAACACUUUCUCUUUCUAAAAACAUGCAGUGCCCAAGCCCUUCGCUUCCACCACAGAAUUCUAACUUUGGAUGGUGUAAUCACACAUCAGGUCACUGCACAAAAUUCAGUCUAGUACAAGCUUUGGUGACUUGCUUUUUCUCAGAUGGCUUCUGCAAGUGGAUCUGGGAGUGCAUCGGCUAGUAAUACCGGGGUAGUGGCUAAAUCUAGAAAAAAUGCAACUGGAGUUAGAAAUGAUCCGACAUGGGCACACGGCCAUGAAGUUCCAGGAGAGAGGCUAAAGAUUAAAUGUAAAUAUUGUGACAAGAUAGUUUCUAGAAGUCCCUAUAGAUUUAAGCAUCACUUGGGAUGUACCAAGAUUAAUGUGGCAUCUUGUCCGGGGUUCCUGACGAUGUUAAGAAUAAUAUGCUCAUUAUUUGUAUGCAUUUGGAGGAUCUUUCAAUAAAGAAGAAACAAGCUAAUAGUUGUGGGUUGGAAGAUGAUGAUGUUGUAGACAUUGAUAAGGAUGAUGAAAAUGCAGGGAUUGGUACAAAAA